ACAAACUUGGUCAUUUAGAGGAAGUAAAAGUCGUAACAAGGUCAUCGUAGGUGAACCUGCGGUGGGAUCAUUAAAGGAUUCUCUUAUGUAUGCCCUUCCUUUAUAGGAAGGGUGUAUGUGUGUGGUUCCUAUGGGUUAAUAACUUGGUAGUGGGUAGUAGUUUAGCGCCUAUGGCGUUAGUGCUACUACUCCUACCAAAAAAGAGCUUGGCAUGCUCUCUGCUUCGGUAGAGAGCGGCCCUGCUCUUGUCCAUCAUCAACUCUUAUGAAACUUCUUUCAUAACCAAAAUCUUACCAAUGUGCUAGUUUGCAUAAUAAUCUUAUACAACUACCAAUGGCGGAUCACUUGGCUCUUGCAUCGAUGAAGAACGCAGC
RNAcentral lists this unclassified non-coding RNA (374 nucleotides) under uncultured fungus. RNAcentral's name for it is "partial contains small subunit ribosomal RNA, internal transcribed spacer 1, and 5.8S ribosomal RNA". The stretch from base 1 to 73 matches the Rfam family "Eukaryotic small subunit ribosomal RNA", at positions 1759 to 1831 of the family's 1831-position model. Lineage: Eukaryota; Fungi. The record is from RNAcentral.